UUGAGCAGCCACGUUCCUGAGAAGUGGGAACUAUGGAGACCCAUGUUUGUGCCACAAUUAGCUUUCUACUGCCCUCUAGUGGCCAUUUAAGGAAAUGGAAGAAAACAGGGAAUAUCUCAACUGUCUGUCAAAUGAAAUAGCAGCAGUAGUUAAGCAGUCAUAGUGGAGAAAUUGAACAAGAAUAUAAUAAUCAUCACACCAUAGCAUUGCCUAAUUGGUCACUUUUAUUUCAGUUAUAUUGUUAACCUCAAACAUGAAAGGAUGUUGACUGACUUGGUGACUUUAGAGCAAAUCUAUGUGUAAAACUGAGGCUAUAUUUGCUCUCGGGGGCUCCGAUGUGGCGCAUCUCUGAGGUCAUGACUGCUGAGCCUGUUUGCUCUUUAUUAAUUUGCCACUUCCUUUUCAGCUUCUGCAUUCAUGCAGUGCAUGCACCUUUCUAAAAGGUAAAUGAUGUGCACAAGUGCACUGGUGUGCUAAUUCUGAUCAAAUUAACUAGUGCAUUACUUAGUUUGGUUGAGAGGUAAGAUGCUAUUGGUAUUAUUUAUACACAUUCUGACAAUACCAUGCUAGUGAACCAACUACAACAAUAAAAUGAUUGUAAAACAACAAUAAGUUUACAACAAUAGUAUAAAUAAAAAAUAAGAAAUAAAAUUAGUAUGUUUCAUACGGUUAACUGUGCUUUUGUGUUUGUUUGCAGGAAGUUACUUCUGUUCUUGGAACAAUACAGGUGUACUGUACAAGCCAGGAAGAGCAUGUUGCAUCCAUUCACAACAGUGGGGAGGCAAUGUUUGUUCACAAUUUUUGCAGGAAACAAACAGAGAUGAUUUCAAUCUCUAAGGGUGAGCACCAAUGGCUCAGUGUCCUAAUUCAUUUUGAAGUGAAGAUAAAAAAGUUUGUGUUUGUGCUUGUGUGACCAACUGUACAUAUAGGCUCAACUUAAGUGCACGACUACGCCACUUGGGGCCUUUCACACCAAGAUAUGUUGUAAACCCAAGUAUACUUGAUAAGACACACAGAUAAGAUAAGUAACGACAGAGACGUGAUUCCAGUACAAA
This is a long non-coding RNA of Alosa sapidissima (American shad), 1055 nucleotides long. RefSeq lists it as uncharacterized. The record is from RefSeq and is a predicted model, not a curated record. NCBI's taxonomy places the organism in Eukaryota, Metazoa, Chordata, Actinopteri, Clupeiformes, Clupeidae. The transcript is spliced from 2 exons.